Molecule: ribosomal RNA, 201 nt
Filed under: Anaerostipes hadrus
Lineage: Bacteria; Bacillati; Bacillota; Clostridia; Lachnospirales; Lachnospiraceae
Description: partial 16S ribosomal RNA
Rfam family: Bacterial small subunit ribosomal RNA
Source: RNAcentral
CAGGAGAGACAGGUGGUGCAUGGUUGUCGUCAGCUCGUGUCGUGAGAUGUUGGGUUAAGUCCCGCAACGAGCGCAACCCCUAUCUUUAGUAGCCAGCAUAUAAGGUGGGCACUCUAGAGAGACUGCCAGGGAUAACCUGGAGGAAGGUGGGGACGACGUCAAAUCAUCAUGCCCCUUAUGACCAGGGCUACACACGUGCUA